AAAUUAUUUACUCAUUCUGCAGGAGCGAGCAUUGGGAAUCCCUCUUCCAGUCCUUGCCUGGCUCUUCCAGCUGUGCCCGCUGCAGCCCAGCACAGCAAGAUCCCAGGCAGAGAUGACAAGCUUUUUCUGCAGAUGAAAGGAGCACCCGGCGUAGCUCUGUCAGAGGAACAAGUACCUUCCCAGAGCUUGUGAGCAGAAGAAAAUGGA
This 207-nucleotide long non-coding RNA is filed under the name Serinus canaria (Common canary). RNAcentral describes it as "lncRNA (ENSSCAG00000004874.1)". The record is from RNAcentral. Lineage: Eukaryota; Metazoa; Chordata; Aves; Passeriformes; Fringillidae.